AAUCAACGCUGGCGGCGUGCCUAACACAUGCAAGUCGAGCGCGAAAGGGGAGCAAUCCCCAAGUAGAGCGGCGAACGGGUGAGUAACGCGUGGGUAAUCUGCCUCCGAGUGGGGAACAACAUCGGGAAACUGGUGCUAAUACCGCAUAACAUCGUCGGGUUUUCGGAUCUGACGAUCAAAGCCGGGGACCGCAAGGCCUGGCGCUUGGAGAGGAGCCCGCGUCCGAUUAGCAGUUGGUGGGGUAAUGGCCCACCAAGGCUUCGAUCGGUAGCCGGCCUGAGAGGGCGGACGGCCACACUGGGACUGAGACACGGCCCAGACUCCUACGGGAGGCAGCAGUGGGGAAUUUUCGCAAUGGGCGAAAGCCUGACGAAGCAACGCCGCGUGGAGGAUGAAGGCCU
This 401-nucleotide ribosomal RNA is filed under the name uncultured bacterium. RNAcentral's name for it is "bacterial SSU rRNA". It matches the Rfam family "Bacterial small subunit ribosomal RNA", at positions 29 to 417 of the family's 1533-position model. The record is from RNAcentral.